GGGUUGUGAGGUUAAGCGACUAAGCGUACACGGUGGAUGCCCUGGCAGUCAGAGGCGAUGAAGGACGUGCUAAUCUGCGAUAAGCGUCGGUAAGGUGAUAUGAACCGUUAUAACCGGCGAUUUCCGAAUGGGGAAACCCAGUGUGAUUCGUCACACUAUCAUUAACUGAAUCCAUAGGUUAAUGAGGCGAACCGGGGGAACUGAAACAUCUAAGUACCCCGAGGAAAAGAAAUCAACCGAGAUUCCCCCAGUAGCGGCGAGCGAACGGGGAGCAGCCCAGAGCCUGAAUCAGUGUGUGUGUUAGUGGAAGCGUCUGGAAAGGCGUGCGAUACAGGGUGACAGCCCCGUACACAAAAAUGCACAUACUGUGAGCUCGAUGAGUAGGGCGGGACACGUGGUAUCCUGUCUGAAUAUGGGGGGACCAUCCUCCAAGGCUAAAUACUCCUGACUGACCGAUAGUGAACCAGUACCGUGAGGGAAAGGCGAAAAGAACCCCGGCGAGGGGAGUGAAAAAGAACCUGAAACCGUGUACGUACAAGCAGUGGGAGCACAGAGCAAUCUGUGUGACUGCGUACCUUUUGUAUAAUGGGUCAGCGACUUAUAUUCUGUAGCAAGGUUAACCGAAUAGGGGAGCCGAAGGGAAACCGAGUCUUAACUGGGCGUUAAGUUGCAGGGUAUAGACCCGAAACCCGGUGAUCUAGCCAUGGGCAGGUUGAAGGUUGGGUAACACUAACUGGAGGACCGAACCGACUAAUGUUGAAAAAUUAGCGGAUGACUUGUGGCUGGGGGUGAAAGGCCAAUCAAACCGGGAGAUAGCUGGUUCUCCCCGAAAGCUAUUUAGGUAGCGCCUCGUGAAUUCAUCUCCGGGGGUAGAGCACUGUUUCGGCAAGGGGGUCAUCCCGACUUACCAACCCGAUGCAAACUGCGAAUACCGGAGAAUGUUAUCACGGGAGACACACGGCGGGUGCUAACGUCCGUCGUGAAGAGGGAAACAACCCAGACCGCCAGCUAAGGUCCCAAAGUCAUGGUUAAGUGGGAAACGAUGUGGGAAGGCCCAGACAGCCAGGAUGUUGGCUUAGAAGCAGCCAUCAUUUAAAGAAAGCGUAAUAGCUCACUGGUCGAGUCGGCCUGCGCGGAAGAUGUAACGGGGCUAAACCAUGCACCGAAGCUGCGGCAGCGACGCUUAUGCGUUGUUGGGUAGGGGAGCGUUCUGUAAGCCUGCGAAGGUGUGCUGUGAGGCAUGCUGGAGGUAUCAGAAGUGCGAAUGCUGACAUAAGUAACGAUAAAGCGGGUGAAAAGCCCGCUCGCCGGAAGACCAAGGGUUCCUGUCCAACGUUAAUCGGGGCAGGGUGAGUCGACCCCUAAGGCGAGGCCGAAAGGCGUAGUCGAUGGGAAACAGGUUAAUAUUCCUGUACUUGGUGUUACUGCGAAGGGGGGACGGAGAAGGCUAUGUUGGCCGGGCGACGGUUGUCCCGGUUUAAGCGUGUAGGCUGGUUUUCCAGGCAAAUCCGGAAAAUCAAGGCUGAGGCGUGAUGACGAGGCACUACGGUGCUGAAGCAACAAAUGCCCUGCUUCCAGGAAAAGCCUCUAAGCAUCAGGUAACAUCAAAUCGUACCCCAAACCGACACAGGUGGUCAGGUAGAGAAUACCAAGGCGCUUGAGAGAACUCGGGUGAAGGAACUAGGCAAAAUGGUGCCGUAACUUCGGGAGAAGGCACGCUGAUAUGUAGGUGAAG
This 1735-nucleotide ribosomal RNA is filed under the name Escherichia coli. Its description in RNAcentral is "bacterial LSU rRNA". It matches the Rfam family "Bacterial large subunit ribosomal RNA", at positions 1 to 1767 of the family's 2925-position model. The record is from RNAcentral. Lineage: Bacteria; Pseudomonadati; Pseudomonadota; Gammaproteobacteria; Enterobacterales; Enterobacteriaceae.